This 277-nucleotide ribosomal RNA is filed under the name uncultured prokaryote. Its description in RNAcentral is "partial 16S ribosomal RNA". It matches the Rfam family "Bacterial small subunit ribosomal RNA", at positions 524 to 801 of the family's 1533-position model. The record is from RNAcentral.
UACGUAGGGGCUAGCGUUAUCCGGAUUUACUGGGCGUAAAGGGUGCGUAGGCGGUCUUUUAAGUCAGGAGUGAAAGGCUACGGCUCAACCGUAGUAAGCUUUUGAAACUGUAAGACUUGAGUGCAGGAGAGGAGAGUGGAAUUCCUAGUGUAGCGGUGAAAUGCGUAGAUAUCAGGAGGAACACCAGUGGCGAAGGCGGCUUUCUGGUCUACCCCUGACGCUGAGGAGCGAAAGCAUGGGGAGCGAACAGGAUUAGAUACCCGGGGUAGUCCCUGAG